RNAcentral lists this transfer RNA (73 nucleotides) under Intoshia linei. It matches the Rfam family "tRNA". Rfam says of the family: Transfer RNA (tRNA) molecules are approximately 80 nucleotides in length. Their secondary structure includes four short double-helical elements and three loops (D, anti-codon, and T loops). Lineage: Eukaryota; Metazoa; Orthonectida; Rhopaluridae. The record is from Rfam by way of RNAcentral.
GCUCUCGUGGCCCAAUGGAUAAGGCAUCCGCUUCCGGAGCGGAGGAUUGUGGGUUCGAGUCCCACCGGGAGCU